AAUCAACGCUGGCGGCGUGCCUAACACAUGCAAGUCGAACGCGAAAGCCCCGCAAGGGGUAAGUAGAGUGGCAAACGGGUGAGUAACACGUGGGUGACCUGCCUUCGAGUGGGGGAUAACGUCCCGAAAGGGACGCUAAUACCGCAUGACAUCCUGCUUUUGAAAAAGCGGAGAUCAAAGCUGGGGAUCGCAAGACCUAGCGCUUGAAGAGGGGCCCGCGCCUGAUUAGCUAGUUGGUGAGGUAACGGCUCACCAAGGCGACGAUCAGUAUCCGGCCUGAGAGGGCGGACGGACACACUGGGACUGAGACACGGCCCAGACUCCUACGGGAGGCAGCAGUGGGGAAUUGUUCGCAAUGGGCGCAAGCCUGACGACGCAACGCCGCGUGGAGGACGAAGAGCUUCGGGUCGUAAACUCCUGUCGAGCGGGACGAACGCUUCGCGGAUGAAUAAUCCGCGGAAUUGACGGUACCGCUAAAGGAAGCCCCGGCUAACUCCGUG
This 500-nucleotide ribosomal RNA is filed under the name uncultured bacterium. RNAcentral's name for it is "partial 16S ribosomal RNA". It matches the Rfam family "Bacterial small subunit ribosomal RNA", at positions 29 to 507 of the family's 1533-position model. The record is from RNAcentral.